AGUGAACGCUGGCGGCGUGCUUAACACAUGCAAGUCGAACGAGAACGGAUUAUAGCUUGCUAUAAUUGUCAGCUAAGUGGCGCACGGGUGAGUAAUGUAUAGGUAAUAUGCCUCAUACUAAGGGAUAACAAAUGGAAACGUUUGCUAAUACCUUAUACUCCUUAUUAACAGAAGUUAAUAAGGGAAAGAUUUAUUGGUAAGAGAUUAGCCUGUAUUGUAUCAGUUAGUUGGUGGGGUAAUGGCUUACCAAGACUAUGACACAUAACUGGUUUGAGAGUAUGAUCAGUCACACUGGAACUGAGACACGGUCCAGACUCCUACGGGAGGCAGCAGUGGGGAAUAUUGCACAAUGGACGAAAGUCUGAUGCAGCAACGCCGCGUGGAGGAUGACACAUUUCGGUGCGUAAACUCCUUUUAUAUGAGAAGAUAAUGACGGUAUUAUAUGAAUAAGCACCGGCUAACUCCGUGCCAGCCGCCGCGGUAA
RNAcentral lists this ribosomal RNA (484 nucleotides) under uncultured bacterium. RNAcentral's name for it is "partial 16S ribosomal RNA". It matches the Rfam family "Bacterial small subunit ribosomal RNA", at positions 29 to 523 of the family's 1533-position model. The record is from RNAcentral.